UUCAAACCUUAUAAAAAUGUCACAUUAUUUCUUCAUAUAUACUUUAUUAGUAUUAUUUAUUUAUUUGUUUAUUUAUUUAUUUAUUUAACUAGAUGAUGCUAGUAGACAAAAGAAAACUAGAGGUCCCACUCAAAUGCGUAAUAUUUGGGGUACUCGAGAUAAUGAGCACCUAAUAGUCAAUUGGAACAAACUUGGCCAACCUGAUGACAAAUUGGCAACAAAGUUAUCAUCAUUCAUUAGAACUAUUGUGCGUGGUGGGAAAAAUGCACCACUCACUUACAAGAAUUGGCAUAAAAUCCCAAAACAUUACAAAGAUCACAUAUGGGCACUUAUACAGGUAAAUGACAUAAUAUUAUGCAAAGAUCACACGUUAAAAAUAGUAAACAUGAGUAAUAUGAUUAAAACAACACUCUUUAUAAUUUUUUUGUAUUUUUAAUCUUGUAUGUAGAAAGAUUAAUUUUCUAUUAUUUUAUUCUUCUCUCUUUCUCUCUCUCUCUCGCUCUUUCUCUCUCUUUUUUCAGUCAAAGUUUGAUCUUCCAAGUCAUGCUAGGACUUGGGUUAUGAAGUGCUCCAAUAAAAAGUUAAAAGACUGGAAGACAAACAUAAAGAAAAAUUAUUAUAAAAACCACUUGAGUUUUGACCAACAAAAGCAUUAUAAAGAUAGUAGAGUAUAUGCUGAUCAGUGGGAACACCUUAUUAAGUAUUGGGUCAUCGAAGAAGUAAAGGCACAAAGUGAUAAAAACAAAGCAAGUCGUGCAGAGCGAAAGUAUAAUCAUACUACUGGAA
This is a non-coding RNA of Camellia sinensis, 786 nucleotides long. The record is from RefSeq and is a predicted model, not a curated record. NCBI's taxonomy places the organism in Eukaryota, Viridiplantae, Streptophyta, Magnoliopsida, Ericales, Theaceae.